GAUGAAGAACGUAGCGAAAUGCGAUAAGUAGUGUGAAUUGCAGAAUUCAGUGAAUCAUCGAAUCUUUGAACGCACAUUGCGCCCUUUGGUAUUCCUUAGGGCAUGCCUGUUCGAGCGUCAUUUCAACCCUCAAGCCCUGCUUGGUGUUGGGCGUUUGUCCUGCCUCCGCGCGGGACUCGCCUCAAAGACAUUGGCGGCCGGUUUCCCUUUGCAGGCCACGAGCGCAGCACAGCGAGCGCUCUACGUAGACGCGGGGUCGGCGCACCAGAAGCCCUCUUUCUCGAAUUUUGACCUCGGAUCAGGUAGGGAUACCCGCUGAACUUAAGCAUAUCAAUAAGCGGAGGA
This 345-nucleotide unclassified non-coding RNA is filed under the name soil metagenome. RNAcentral describes it as "partial contains 5.8S ribosomal RNA, internal transcribed spacer 2, and large subunit ribosomal RNA". The stretch from base 1 to 120 matches the Rfam family "5.8S ribosomal RNA", at positions 35 to 154 of the family's 154-position model. The record is from RNAcentral.